UUAAAGAGUUCGUAGGUGGUUGAAAAAGUUAGUGGUGAAAUCCCAGAGCUUAACUCUGGAACUGCCAUUAAAACUUUUCAGCUAGAGUAUGAUAGAGGAAAGCAGAAUUUCUAGUGUAGAGGUGAAAUUCGUAGAUAUUAGAAAGAAUACCAAUUGCGAAGGCAGCUUUCUGGAUCAUUACUGACACUGAGGAACGAAAGCAUGGGUAGCGAAGAGGAUUAGAUACCCUCGUAGUCCAUGCCGUAAACGAUGUGUGUUAGACGUUGGAAAUUUAUUUUCAGUGUCGCAGCGAAAGCGAUAAACACACCGCCUGGGGAGUACGACCGCAAGGUUAAAACUCAAAUGAAUUGACGGGGACCCGCACAAGUAGUGGAGCAUGUGGUUUAAUUCGAAGAUACGCGCAGAACCUUACCAACACUUGACAUGUUCGUCGCGACUCUAAGAGAUUAGAGUUUUCGGUUCGGCCGGACGAAACACAGGUGCUGCAUGGCUGUCGUCAGCUCGUGUCGUGAGAUGUUGGGUUAAGUCCCGCAACGAGCGCAACCCUCACUUUUAGUUGCCAUCAUUAAGUUGGGCACUCUGAAAGAACUGCCAGUGAUAAGCUGGAGGAAGGUGGGGAUGACGUCAAGUCCUCAUGGCCCUUACGUGUUGGGCUACACACGUGCUACAAUGGUAUCUACAACAGGAAGCAAAACUGCGAAGUUAAGCAAAUCCCUAAAAGAUACCUCAGUUCGGAUUGCACUCUGCAACUCGAGUGCAUGAAGCUGGAAUUACUAGUAAUCGUGGAUCAGCGUGCCACGGUGAAUGCGUUCCCGGGUCUUGUACACACCGCCCGUCACACCAUGGGAGUUGGUUCUACCUUAAGGCAAGGUUUUAAACCCUUGACCACGGUAUAGUCAGCGACUGGGGUGAAGUCGUAACAAGGUAGCCGUAGGGGAACCUGCGGCUGGAUUACCUCCUUU
This 962-nucleotide ribosomal RNA is filed under the name Candidatus Pelagibacter sp. RNAcentral describes it as "bacterial SSU rRNA". It matches the Rfam family "Bacterial small subunit ribosomal RNA", at positions 560 to 1533 of the family's 1533-position model. Lineage: Bacteria; Pseudomonadati; Pseudomonadota; Alphaproteobacteria; Candidatus Pelagibacterales; Candidatus Pelagibacteraceae. The record is from RNAcentral.